RNAcentral lists this ribosomal RNA (316 nucleotides) under uncultured Acidobacteriota bacterium. RNAcentral describes it as "bacterial SSU rRNA". It matches the Rfam family "Bacterial small subunit ribosomal RNA", at positions 20 to 352 of the family's 1533-position model. Lineage: Bacteria; Pseudomonadati; Acidobacteriota. The record is from RNAcentral.
UGGCUCAGAACGAACGCUGGCGGCGUGCCUAACACAUGCAAGUCGAACGAGAAAGUCCGCAAGGAUGAGUACAGUGGCGACCGGGUGAGUAACACGUGACUAACCUACCCUCGAGUGGGGAAUAACUCCGGGAAACCGGAGCUAAUACCGCAUAACAUCGCAAGAUCAAAGCAGCAAUGCGCUUGAGGAGGGGGUCGCGGCUGAUUAGCUAGUUGGUAGGGUAACGGCCUACCAAGGCGAAGGUCAGUAUCCGGCCUGAGAGGGCGCACGGACACACUGGAACUGAUACUCGGUCCAGACGACUACGGGAGGCAGC